Molecule: long non-coding RNA, 544 nt
Organism: Peromyscus leucopus (white-footed mouse)
Lineage: Eukaryota; Metazoa; Chordata; Mammalia; Rodentia; Cricetidae
Exons: 3
Source: RefSeq, a predicted model, not a curated record
UUCUCUCUGAGAUUCGGAUUAACUAAGGUCUUCAGCUGUGUACCUCUUCCCUCCUGCUCUCUUUCCAGCCCCCUCCCCUUCCCUCUUCUGGGCCUUUUCCUACGGCUUCUAGACUAGCUCUCUGUUGCUUCUUAGAUUUGUCAUGCUUAAGCCACCACUGGACAUCUUCCAAAGCAGUCCCUGAGAAGGAAUGCUGGCAGCUCUGGAGGGAUGUCAUGGGUAUCUCUUCAGGACUCUGAACAAGCAUCAUCAGGACCAGAGCUCCAGCCAUUAGGUGGUGUGAUGAGGGACAGUGUCACAGGGAAAGGGAUCCUAGACAUAUAUGGUGCAUCUCCCCGGGAAGAUCUUGAAAGAAGAGAGGCUCAAGGAAAGAGUGAACUACUCAGGGGCAGAGCCAAAGUCCCAGAGAACGAUGAUAAAAGAACAACGGGAGAUUCAGGUGACGGCACCUCUGUGGGAGGGGUUGCCCGAGUCAAGGACUAUUCCAUAUUCCUGGAGUAGGGAACCUGGCCAUAUGUAUCUGGCUAUAUUUCAGAAUACAAUA